GACGAACGCUGGCGGCGUGCUUAACACAUGCAAGUCGAGCGGUAAGGCCCUUUCGGGGGUACACGAGCGGCGAACGGGUGAGUAACACGUGGGUGACCUGCCCUCAGCUCUGGGAUAAGCCUGGGAAACCGGGUCUAAUACUGGAUAUGACUCCAUGACGCAUGUUGUGGGGUGGAAAGCCUUGUGCGGCUGAGGAUGGGCCCGCGGCCUAUCAGCUUGUUGGUGGGGUGANGGCCUACCAAGGCGACGACGGGUAGCCGGCCUGAGAGGGCGACCGGCCACACUGGGACUGAGACACGGCCCAGACUCCUACGGGAGGCAGCAGUGGGGAAUCUUGCGCAAUGGGCGAAAGCCUGACGCAGCGACGCCGCGUGGAGGAUGAAGGUCUUCGGAUUGUAAACUCCUGUUGCCCGGGAGAAUAGCUCCGACCUAACACGUCGGAGUCUGACGGUACCGGGUGA
This 461-nucleotide ribosomal RNA is filed under the name uncultured bacterium. RNAcentral's name for it is "bacterial SSU rRNA". It matches the Rfam family "Bacterial small subunit ribosomal RNA", at positions 28 to 485 of the family's 1533-position model. The record is from RNAcentral.